UACGAAGGAUGCAAGCGUUAUCCGGAUUCACUGGGUUUAAAGGGUGUGCAGGUGGGGUAAUAAGUCAGUGGUGAAAGCCCCCGACUCACUCGGGGAACUGCCAUAGAUACUGUUAUUCUUGAGUGUGGUUGAGGUGGAUGGAAUAUGACAUGUAGCGGUGAAAUGCUUAGAUAUGUCAUAGAACACCGAUCGCGAAGGCAGUCCGCCAGACCAUUACUGACGCUGAAGCACGAAAGUGCGGGGAGCAAACAGG
RNAcentral lists this ribosomal RNA (253 nucleotides) under uncultured bacterium. RNAcentral's name for it is "partial 16S ribosomal RNA". It matches the Rfam family "Bacterial small subunit ribosomal RNA", at positions 524 to 776 of the family's 1533-position model. The record is from RNAcentral.